UAAGGAAUAUUGGUCAAUGGACGAAGGUCUGAACCAGCCAUGCCGCGUGAAGGAUGAAGGCCCUCUGGGUUGUAAACUUCUUUUAUCUGGGACGAAAAAAGCUCAUUCUUGAGCACUUGACGGUACCAGAGGAAUAAGCACCGGCUAACUCCGUGCCAGCAGCCGCGGUAAUACGGAGGGUGCAAGCGUUAUCCGGAUUCACUGGGUUUAAAGGGUGCGUAGGUGGGUUGGUAAGUCAGUGGUGAAAUCUCCGGGCUUAACUCGGAAACUGCCAUUGAUACUAUCAAUCUUGAAUCAUCUGGAGGUAAGCGGAAUAUGUCAUGUAGCGGUGAAAUGCUUAGAUAUGACAUAGAACACCAAUUGCGAAGGCAGCUUACUACGGGUGUAUUGACACUGAGGCACGAAAGCGUGGGGAUCAAAC
RNAcentral lists this ribosomal RNA (421 nucleotides) under uncultured bacterium. Its description in RNAcentral is "bacterial SSU rRNA". It matches the Rfam family "Bacterial small subunit ribosomal RNA", at positions 355 to 773 of the family's 1533-position model. The record is from RNAcentral.